Molecule: long non-coding RNA, 438 nt
Filed under: Gallus gallus (chicken)
Lineage: Eukaryota; Metazoa; Chordata; Aves; Galliformes; Phasianidae
Description: lncRNA (ENSGALG00010012386.1)
Source: RNAcentral
CAUGUAUGAUUAUUUCUUUAUUGCAUUCUAGGUUUUAGUGGAAUUUAGGAUAAAGUUAAAUCUCUCUCACAUUUAUGAUAAGAUCAACAAAAUGAAUUCUUACUAGUGUUUCUUUCCACAGUUGCCUUGAAUUGGCUGGGUGAUCACAAAUGUAAAUUACUCUCUUGGAGUCCUGAGUAGAAAACUGAAUCUCUUGAAAGAAGAUGCAAUAGGAAAAAUUCUUCCUUCACAUGUAACAUUUCCAAGAAGCAUGUUUCUCUGUCAAAUGCUCCAGAGUAUUUUCAGUGCGACACGUAGCCCAGGACUGCAUGAAGUCAUGUCUUCUUUCUUUUGAUCUCUAAUAAGGUUUGUAGAGACCAGGCAAGCUUUAAGACAUCUAGAGUUAUCUCUGCUCUGAGAUUAAAAUGGAAAACACUGAAGUACGGGCUAGAAAUCUCU